ACAGGGAGAAGAUGAUCUGCAGGAUCCUGCUGCUCAUCAUCCUCACCUCAUGUGUCUCUGGAUCAUUUGUAGUCAAUGUGACACAGACCUGCUAUCAGGCAGAGGAGAACCACAACAUCACACUGGAGUGGACGUUCACCACCAAACCUGACAGAUCCAC
Molecule: long non-coding RNA, 160 nt
Organism: Oreochromis aureus
Lineage: Eukaryota; Metazoa; Chordata; Actinopteri; Cichliformes; Cichlidae
Exons: 2
Source: RefSeq, a predicted model, not a curated record